ACAUCCAUCGUACGAUGCCUGACCUACGGAGCCGAGCACGAAGAAAUCGGGAACCCGUGAAACCUACUCCGAAUCAGAAUCCGAUUAAGCUCACUGUACAGACUCGUCGGAGAAAAACUGCUGAGAACAAGGGAAAAAAUAACGCGAUCGCUGUUGAAGAUAAGAAUAAUAUUGUGAACCUUGAAACGACACCGUUAGAGACGCAUCCUAGGGCUUUUAGAGAGGAGGUUGCAGAGAAGACAAUGGAUGAGUACGAUAGCGGCGGCCGCAGCGGUGACAAAGGUCCCCGGGCUGAGGACGAAGGAAGCACGGCUCCGCUUCCUGAGAAGGUUCAAGUUGGAGGCUCCCCAGCCUACAGAAUAGAAAGAAAACUGGGUAAAGGAGGUUUCGGACAAGUAUAUGUUGGUCGACGCAUUAGUCCCUCUGCUUCAAAUGAAAGAAGUGGCCCUGGAGCUGUUGAGGUAGCUCUGAAAUUUGAACAUAGAAGUAGCAAAGGAUGCAAUUAUGGACCACCCUACGAGUGGCAAGUUUACAAUGCUCUUGGAGGUAGUCAUGGUGUCCCGCGAGUUCAUUACAAAGGCCGGCAAGGUGACUACUAUGUCAUGGUUAUGGAUAUGCUUGGACCUAGUUUAUGGGAUGUUUGGAAUAACAAUUCACACACGAUGUCCAUUGAAAUGGUUGCAUGCAUUGCCAUUGAAUCAAUCUCUAUACUAGAGAAGAUGCAUUCUAGAGGAUAUGUGCAUGGGGAUGUAAAACCAGAGAACUUUUUGCUUGGUCCUCCAGGAACCCCUGAGGAAAAAAAGCUUUUUUCUUAUUGACCUUGGACUAGCAACCAGGUGGCGAGACACUUCAACUGGCCUGCAUGUUGAAUAUGAUCAACGUCCUGAUGUUUUUAGGGGAACAGUGCGGUAUGCUAGCGUUCAUGCUCAUCUUGGUAGAACUGGUAGUAGGAGAGAUGACUUAGAGUCUCUUGCUUACACACUCAUUUUUCUUCUCCGUGGUCGGUUACCUUGGCAGGGAUAUCAGGGGGAAAAUAAAGGGUUCCUAGUUUGCAAGAAGAAGAUGGCAACGUCCCCAGAAACUUUGUGUUGUUUCUGCCCUCAGCCUUUUCGUCAGUUUGUUGAGUACGUGGUAAAUCUGAAAUUUGACGAGGAACCCAAUUACGCUAAAUAUAUCUCCCUUUUUGAUGGGAUUGUUGGUCCAAAUCCAGAUAUUAGGCCAAUAAACACUGAUGGUGCCCAGAAGCUUAUAUAUCAGGUUGGACAUAAGCGAGGACGAUUGACAAUGGAAGAGGAAGAAGAUGAACAACCAAAGAAGAAGGUACGGAUGGGAAUGCCUGCAACACAAUGGAUCAGUGUUUACAAUGCUCGCCGUCCAAUGAAGCAGAGAUAUCACUAUAAUGUAGCUGAUAUGAGGCUUUCACAACAUAUAGAGAAAGGAAAUGAGGAUGGGUUAUUUAUCAGCAGUGUGGCUUC
This 1475-nucleotide unclassified non-coding RNA is filed under the name Hevea brasiliensis (rubber tree). The record is from RNAcentral. Lineage: Eukaryota; Viridiplantae; Streptophyta; Magnoliopsida; Malpighiales; Euphorbiaceae.